CACGUAAGGUGCGAGCGUUGUUCGGAAUCAUUGGGCGUAAAGGGCGCGUAGGCGGCCGGACAAGCGGGGUGUGAAAGGCGGGGGCCCAACCCCCGGACUGCGCCCCGAACUGUAAGGCUGGAGUUGCCGUGGCGCCGGCGGAAUUCCAGGUGUAGGGGUGAAAUCUGUAGAUAUCUGGAAGAACACCGGUGGCGAAGGCGGCCGGCGAGCGGACAACUGACGCUGAGGCGCGAAGGUGCGGGGAG
Molecule: ribosomal RNA, 245 nt
Filed under: uncultured Spirochaetaceae bacterium
Lineage: Bacteria; Pseudomonadati; Spirochaetota; Spirochaetia; Spirochaetales; Spirochaetaceae
Description: partial 16S ribosomal RNA
Rfam family: Bacterial small subunit ribosomal RNA
Source: RNAcentral